RNAcentral lists this ribosomal RNA (376 nucleotides) under uncultured bacterium. Its description in RNAcentral is "partial 16S ribosomal RNA". It matches the Rfam family "Bacterial small subunit ribosomal RNA", at positions 338 to 732 of the family's 1533-position model. The record is from RNAcentral.
CCUACGGGAGGCAGCAGUGGGGAAUAUUGCACAAUGGGGGAAACCCUGAUGCAGCGACGCCGCGUGAGUGAAGAAGUAUUUCGGUACGUAAAGCUCUAUCAGCAGGGAAGAAAAUGACGGUACCUGACUAAGAAGCACCGGCUAACUACGUGCCAGCAGCCGCGGUAAUACGGGGGGUGCGAUCGUUAUCCGGAUUUAUUGGGUUUAAAGGGUGCGUAGGCGGACUGUUAAGUCAGAGGUAAAAGCCCGGGGCUCAACCCCGGCGAGCCGUUGAAACUGGCUGUCUUGAGAUGUGGAGAGGUAUGCGGAAUGCGCAGUGUAGCGGUGAAAUGCUUAGAUAUUGGGAAGAAACCCGAUUGCGAAGGCAGGAUACCGG